This is a non-coding RNA of Macrostomum lignano, 73 nucleotides long. The record is from Rfam. Lineage: Eukaryota; Metazoa; Platyhelminthes; Macrostomidae.
AGAGUUGUAGCCUAGUGGUUAGAGCGUCAGACUCAUGACUUGAAGGUUGGGGGUUCGAUUCCCGUUCUUACUG